RNAcentral lists this ribosomal RNA (433 nucleotides) under uncultured bacterium. RNAcentral describes it as "partial 16S ribosomal RNA". It matches the Rfam family "Bacterial small subunit ribosomal RNA", at positions 29 to 507 of the family's 1533-position model. The record is from RNAcentral.
AACGAACGCUGGCGGCAUGCCUAACACAUGCAAGUCGAACGAGACCUUCGGGUCUAGUGGCGCACGGGUGCGUAACGCGUGGGAACCUGCCCUUAGGUUCGGAAUAACUCCCCGAAAGGGGUGCUAAUACCGGAUAAUGUCUUCGGACCAAAGAUUUAUCGCCUUUGGAUGGGCCCGCGUUGGAUUAGCUAGUUGGUAGGGUAAAAGCCUACCAAGGCGACGAUCCAUAGCUGGUCUGAGAGGAUGAUCAGCCACACUGGGACUGAGACACGGCCCAGACCCCUAGGGGAGGCGGAAGGGGGGAAUAUUGGACAGUGGGCGAAGGCCGGAUCCAGCAAUGCCGCGUGAGUGAUAAGGGCCUUGGGGUUGUAAAGCUCUUUUACCCGGGAUGAUAAGGACAGUACGGGAAAGAUAAGCUCGGGCUAACUCCGUC